Sorex araneus (European shrew) is the source of this 136-nucleotide small nucleolar RNA. Its record names the gene U8. It matches the Rfam family "U8 small nucleolar RNA". From Rfam's summary of the family: U8 is a member of the C/D class of snoRNA which contain the C (UGAUGA) and D (CUGA) box motifs. Lineage: Eukaryota; Metazoa; Chordata; Mammalia; Eulipotyphla; Soricidae. The record is from Ensembl.
UCAUCAGAAAGGAUAAUCCUUACCUGUUUCUCUAUUCAGAGCGCACAUGGAACAUGAUAAUUGGAGUUCGAAUGAUUCAUGAUUAAUGUCUAUGCAAGAUUAGGGAUUGCAACACCCUAAUCCCUCCUAUCCUGAU